AGUAAAUAGAUACCCGGGUAGUCCAUGCCGUAAACGUUGGGCACUAGGUGUGGGGGACAUUCCACGUUUUCCGCGCCGUAGCUAAACGCAUUAAAGUGCCCCGCCUGGGGAGUACGGCCGCAAGGCUAAAACUCAAAGGAAUUGACGGGGGCCCGCACAAGCGGCGGAGCAUGCGGAUUAAUUCGAUGCAACGCGAAGAACCUUACCAAGGCUUGACAUGGACCGGAUCGCCGCAGAAAUGUGGUUUCUCCUUUUGGGGCCGGUUCACAGGUGGUGCAUGGUUGUCGUCAGCUCGUGUCGUGAGAUGUUGGGUUAAGUCCCGCAACGAGCGCAACCCUCGUUCCAUGUUGCCAGCGCGUAAUGGCGGGGACUCAUGGGAGACUGCCGGGGUCAACUCGGAGGAAGGUGGGGACGACGUCAAAUCAUCAUGCCCCUUAUGUCUUGGGCUUCACGCAUGCUACAAUGGCCGGUACAAAGGGUUGCGAUACUGUGAGGUGAGCUAAUCCCAAAAAGCCGGUCUCAGUUCGGAUUGGGGUCUGCAACUCGACCCC
This 551-nucleotide ribosomal RNA is filed under the name uncultured bacterium. RNAcentral describes it as "bacterial SSU rRNA". It matches the Rfam family "Bacterial small subunit ribosomal RNA", at positions 775 to 1319 of the family's 1533-position model. The record is from RNAcentral.